GAAAUAAUCAGACUCAAAAAGACAACUACUACAUGAUUCCACUUAACAGAGCAGCUGGAGUGCAUCCCGGGGACUUGGGAGCUCUGGAAAGAGGAGCAGGAAAGGGCCAUGGCCGGAGGAGGCCUGAAAAAGAUCAUCUCUGCCACAGAGAAGAAGCUGGCUCGGAUGCUGCUGGCCCCUAUGGAGACAGGGAGACCCGGGGAGACAACUGUAUUCAUUCAAGGAGGAAUGGGUGGUGAUGCAAACUUGGGUGGAGGCCACAGGGUGCAGAAGACAGGACACAGCAGAGAGAGAUGUAGGACAUGGAAGGGACAGAAAGGAGUGACCACAGGACAUAAAGGGGCAAGGAAAGUGGAAGCAUGAUAACAUCUGCUGGGCAUCCGGCUGAGGGGUUGGGUGCCUAGGGUGCCCUUCCCUAAGGGAGAACCCCAGGAGCAGAUUCAGAGAAAACCGCCCAGCUCACUCCAGCAAGAAUCAGAAAAGGACCGGUUAAAGGAGAGGGUAGGAAGGUCACCAAGCUCCAAGGGCCCUCAUGAAUCCGGCUUGGAGGCCACAGGGCCCAGGGCAAGGACAAACCACAGGCACAGGACAGCUCCGGUCAAGAUCUUCUGGCUACUGCAGGAGGCAGAAACCACACCCUGCACCCUGCACUGCUGAGGCUGGCGCUGGAGUCCAGAAGCUUCUACACCAGAAGCUUCGGUCCCCCAUCCCUGCUCAAAAAAUUAAAACAAAAACAAUAACAAAUCGGUGUCAUGCACCCUCUGCUUCCUGGUGCUGUUCGGGACCCUGAGUCUUUCACGGGAGCACCUGAUGGGGAAAGCCUGGACCCGUGUCGGUGUCCCUCCUGCAAGGAGUGCUGGGAAAAUGAACUUUCCAGCUUCCUCCUUGCGAAGGCAGAACAUUCCCCAUGUGUACUGGUGGCAUUUAAAAACUGCAGGGCAGCCAGAGAACAUGGACUGUGUUCCACCGGGAGAGUUCCUGGCGGGAUGUCCCGGUGCAGAAGCCCGUCCCAAGAGAUUAUUCCAGGAAAAGAAGUGGCCCUCAGUGUCAAAGGAUGCAAAACUAACCUCUGAGUUCCUGGCAGGUUUAGCAAUAAAGGAGGAUGUUGCUGAUCUCAGUACAAGCAAUGUUAGAGAAAGGGGAAGAUGGAAGUGGACAAGGACGAGUGAGUGGAAGGUGACAAAUGGAAGCAAAGAAACGUAUCCAGACCAUUGAAGAUGCUUGAGCGAGAAGAAAGAGGCGGUGGAGGGAAUGGAAGCCCGAGGAAGUCAUAUGUUGCAAUAAGGGGCCUCAGAGCACGUGUAGAGUGUGGAGCAGAGCCCUUGCAGAGGGGCUGUGGAAGGCUGGCAGGGUGCAGGUGGCCCCACUCUCCGUCACCCUGAGGAGUGUGUGGUCAGAGUUAAAGCUCAGUCUGUUUCUGGGAUCAGGCUUUCACAAGCUCCAAAAGAUUCACCGUGCAGAACUGGACGUUCUAGAGAAAGACCACGCCUCCUCCUGCAGGUAACUCUUCAUUCAGGAAGCAGCUCUUGGCUUAUCCCUGGGCUUAGUGGAAUUGGAAUACCUGACCAUAGGACACCAAGGGCUUUAGGACCUGAGUGGCACAUCGUGUCCUGGUGACAUCUGAGUUACCUGGGGCGUGCACAGCAGCCUCCAGCAUCCCAGGGAGAGCUGUGUAUGGGGUCAGGCUCAAGCAGGUCCCAGGGCACCAGUGACCCAAUGGGUGAAUCAGACUCCCGUGGCACCUGCUCCUUCUGUAUCUCCCUCUGCCAUAUAUAUGAGCUCAUGGGAAGCACUGUAACCUCUUACAGAGGAGGAAAGUUCAUGGACUUCUAGCUUCUAGAACUGUGAUACAAUAAACUCCUGUUGCUUAUCU
Molecule: long non-coding RNA, 1873 nt
Organism: Homo sapiens (human)
Lineage: Eukaryota; Metazoa; Chordata; Mammalia; Primates; Hominidae
Gene: PSG8-AS1
Product: PSG8 antisense RNA 1
Source: Ensembl